Mizuhopecten yessoensis (Yesso scallop) is the source of this 190-nucleotide long non-coding RNA. RefSeq lists it as uncharacterized. The record is from RefSeq and is a predicted model, not a curated record. Lineage: Eukaryota; Metazoa; Mollusca; Bivalvia; Pectinida; Pectinidae. The transcript is spliced from 3 exons.
CUGACGAAUUCAGUGUGGUGAAGACUUGUUGAGCGGACGAGCAUAAAAGCCUGAAGAUUAUCAAAACAAAGGUGUAAAAUCAUCAACAGCGAACUUUUUAAAUCAUGUCUAAGGGGACAAAAAGGAAAGCGCAGACGAGCGCAGAAGGUACUGCGCCAGUGGAUCGCACUCAUCAGCCCCCACAGUCGAU